RNAcentral lists this ribosomal RNA (178 nucleotides) under Escherichia coli. RNAcentral describes it as "partial 16S ribosomal RNA". It matches the Rfam family "Bacterial small subunit ribosomal RNA", at positions 1 to 172 of the family's 1533-position model. Lineage: Bacteria; Pseudomonadati; Pseudomonadota; Gammaproteobacteria; Enterobacterales; Enterobacteriaceae. The record is from RNAcentral.
AAAUUGAAGAGUUUGAUCAUGGCUCAGAUUGAACGCUGGCGGCAGGCCUAACACAUGCAAGUCGAACGGUAACAGAAAGCAGCUUGCUGCUUUGCUGACGAGUGGCGGACGGGUGAGUAAUGUCUGGGAAACUGCCUGAUGGAGGGGGAUAACUACUGGAAACGGUAGCUAAUACCGC